CCUACGGGAGGCAGCAGUGAGGAAUAUUGGUCAAUGGGCGGAAGCCUGAACCAGCCAAGUCGCGUGAGGGAAGACGGUCCUACGGAUUGUAAACCUCUUUUGCCGGGGAGCAACGGGGUCCUUGCGAGGGCCCGAUGAGAGUACCCGGAGAAAAAGCAUCGGCAAACUCCGUGCCAGCAGCCGCGGUAUAACGGGGGAUGCGAGCGUUAUCGGGAUUUUUGGGGUUUAAGGGUUGCGUAGGGGGGCUGUUAGGUCAGCGGUAAAGUGUGGGGGCUAAACCCCGGCCUGCCGUUGAAACUGGCGGGCUUGAGUGGGCGAGAAGUAUGCGGAAUGCGUGGUGUAGCGGUGAAAUGCAUAGAUAUCACGCAGAACUCCGAUUGCGAAGGCAGCAUACCGGCGCCCUACUGACGCUGAGGCACGAAAGCGUGGGUAUCGAACAGGAUUAGAUACCCCUGUAGUC
RNAcentral lists this ribosomal RNA (460 nucleotides) under uncultured bacterium. Its description in RNAcentral is "partial 16S ribosomal RNA". It matches the Rfam family "Bacterial small subunit ribosomal RNA", at positions 338 to 795 of the family's 1533-position model. The record is from RNAcentral.